RNAcentral lists this ribosomal RNA (465 nucleotides) under Vreelandella stevensii. RNAcentral describes it as "partial 16S ribosomal RNA". It matches the Rfam family "Bacterial small subunit ribosomal RNA", at positions 338 to 795 of the family's 1533-position model. Lineage: Bacteria; Pseudomonadati; Pseudomonadota; Gammaproteobacteria; Oceanospirillales; Halomonadaceae. The record is from RNAcentral.
CCUACGGGGGGCUGCAGUGGGGAAUAUUGGACAAUGGGGGCAACCCUGAUCCAGCCAUGCCGCGUGUGUGAAGAAGGCCCUCGGGUUGUAAAGCACUUUCAGUGAGGAAGAACGCCUGGUGGUUAAUACCCAUCAGGAAAGACAUCACUCACAGAAGAAGCACCGGCUAACUCCGUGCCAGCAGCCGCGGUAAUACGGAGGGUGCGAGCGUUAAUCGGAAUUACUGGGCGUAAAGCGCGCGUAGGUGGCUUGAUAAGCCGGUUGUGAAAGCCCCGGGCUCAACCUGGGAACGGCAUCCGGAACUGUCAAGCUAGAGUGCAGGAGAGGAAGGUAGAAUUCCCGGUGUAGCGGUGAAAUGCGUAGAGAUCGGGAGGAAUACCAGUGGCGAAGGCGGCCUUCUGGACUGACACUGACACUGAGGUGCGAAAGCGUGGGUAGCAGACAGGAUUAGAUACCCGGGUAGUC